GCUCCUACCGAUUGAGUGAUCCGGUGAAUUAUUCGGACUGACGCAGUGCUCAGCUUCUGGACGUUGCGUUGGAAAGUUUCAUGAACCUUAUCACUUAGUGGAAGGAGAAGUCGUAACAAGGUUUCCGUAGGUGAACCUGCAGAAGGAUCAAUAUCGUAAUAGAGUCGUGUAGGGUAAGAGUCUAGAUCUCGGUGGUCGUCGCAUCAUUAAAAAAAAAAUCAAUCCCCAUCACUUUUCCACCCUACGUCUCUUAUCGCAUUGUUCUCACAUGUUGUUC
This 277-nucleotide unclassified non-coding RNA is filed under the name sea anemone metagenome. RNAcentral's name for it is "partial contains small subunit ribosomal RNA and internal transcribed spacer 1". The stretch from base 1 to 153 matches the Rfam family "Eukaryotic small subunit ribosomal RNA", at positions 1678 to 1831 of the family's 1831-position model. The record is from RNAcentral.